RNAcentral lists this long non-coding RNA (2922 nucleotides) under Homo sapiens (human). RNAcentral's name for it is "HSALNT0360184". The record is from RNAcentral. Lineage: Eukaryota; Metazoa; Chordata; Mammalia; Primates; Hominidae.
GCUCAGAGCCAGGGUCUCUGCUGGGGUCAGCGUCUGUACGCUAAAGCCAGGGCGCAAAGUGCGUGGGCACUGCGGACACUAGAGGCUUAUGGCGCUGGAAAUACAAGGCCGAGUUGCCGGCGCAAAGAGUUCCCCGGGCGGGUUGGUGAUGCGGCGCGCUUUGAUAACAGGUUAAUCCGGCCAACAUUCGCUCCGCGAGAGAGCCAUCGGAGGGCUCCGGGAGACUGCGGCGCCACGGAGGGAGAGGCGGCGAGAGGCCCCUCUGCGAGCACCCUCUGGGCGCAGUGCGGUGGGCUAUGCUCUGCGCAGCCCCGGGCGCGCCUGGGUUCUCAGAGCCCAAGACCUGAGCCGCUCCGAGCGCAGGGCGCCAGUUCUCUUUCAGAAGCGGGAGAAGUUCAGGUGCCCAACACCUUGAUCAGUGCCUGCUUUGUAGUAGGCAUUCAAAUACUGUGGACUGGAUGAAUGGAGUCACUUCCCUUCCAACCUGCACACCAACGUGGUUGAACUGCCUCCUUUCUAAGUGCCAAAGUCUGUUUUACAAGGCUGCCCUGCUGUGCCCAUCUGGGCACCCAGUCCAGCCUCCCUUCCUGGGCGCCUUGACUCCCAACUGCAGAUGAAGUGUCUGGAAAUCAUGGUACUCAAGGUAGGAUCCACAUUGCCUGCCGGCCUAGGACCAAGAUCUGCAAGUCAGAACGAAACACCAGCUGUCCCUGUCUCCUGCACCCAUCCCCAUCCCGGUGAGUGAAGACACAGAACCGAGGACGAACCCGGAAAGCCCUCUUCUCACAGCCCCAAGAGGCAGGAAGAGAAGUGUGUGUGCAGCGGAGGCCCUGUGGCCCGGCAGCGUCUCUCGGGUUUUGAGAUACAUAAUCUAAAUAUAUACUUUGAAAAUUGAAAAGUGCUCACAUAUAGAAUGUGGCUGCGGGGAGAGGAUGCUCUCUUUGAACAUGUCUCUUUAAAGACAAAAUUUGCAAAGUGUUUUCCUGCCCUUAAGGAGACACUUAAACAUGGCAGAAGAUGUAAAAUGGAAAUUGAAGUGUCUCUCCCAGGCCACCAUACACGGAUCAAACAGGCACGGUCUAUUCUAAGCGUUCAUUAAUAGCUGGUCUCUGAGGGCCUGGGCAGCAGCCAGAGGAUUUUACUCAUUAAAAAGGUGGCAAGGGACACCUGGCUUGUCCCUGAUAGGACUUGAGUUGGCCUGUAGAAAUGCAUCCUGUACAUCCACAAAUGUAAGGGAAAUAAGGCAGGAAAAUAAGUUCGAGUGAGGACUCACUGCACAACAGGAUAUCAAAGGAGCAUUACAAAAUAUUGUCUAACAGAAGUACCAGGGCUGGAUCCCAAAGUUUUGUGUAGAUCUUGAUAAAGAGUUUGGAUUUUAUUCUAACAAGAGUGAAGAGCAUGACAAUGUUUGCAGAAGAGUGAUGGCUUCUUUCAGGCAACAGUGACAAUUACACCUCCUCUUUUUCUCUUUGAUCCUCCACCCUCUCCCUCCAGCACCUGGUACAAAGCUGGGUACCCAGCAGACACUCUGUAAAUUAAAGUGCUGCCAGCCUGAACAAUCUCAGUGGAAGAGCUAAGUGGGUCCAUUUCCUUGCUUUACAAAUGAAGUCGCUGAGGCUCAGAGGGGUUAAGUUCUUUUCCUGAGCUAGGUAAUAUCUGGUUAAGUAAGAUCUGAUAAGUGUGUGUGUGUGUGUGUGUGUGUGUGUGUGUGUGUGUGUGUGUGUGUCUGUGUGCUUGGACAGGGGGUGCUUCCGCCUUUCACUGCCCCAAUAGGAGUCAGUCCUGUUCCUUUUCACUUCUCUACUUGAUGCUCUACCCACCGGCCUCAGGCCAUAUGCCCUGGUCCACCCUGCUCACAGAACUUCCCGCCUGGCCCCUGUUACCUGACCGAUGCCACAGGCAUCACUGGGUCCCAGGAGCCAGCCUCUUUACUUUUGGACCCCAGGCCAGGAUCUAAAAAUAUCUCUGAGUAUUUCCAACACCUACAACAGAUGCGCCUGCAAAUUACCUGGUCCCAGUGGUGGGGAGCAGGGGAGGAAAGGGCAUCGUUGUUCUAAAAGCAUUACACAUUUAAUUUGCAAAGUUACAUCAUGCAUUUGUGCACAGGUCAACUUUCUAGGAGUCGAUUUCGAAAACAGAGACAGGUUGAGGAUCCUGAGGGUGUUCUUUGCAGAGAAGGCAGGGGAGGUUGUGGAGGCCUGUCAGAUGCUUUCACACACUCAAGGCCAGUACUCCUCUUCCCUCUCAUAGAUGAGAAAUGAUGGACAUUCAUGGGGUCCUUUCUCUGCGUGUGCCAGGUACCUCUGCAGACACCAUUAUAUUUCUUUCUGAGAUCAACCUUGCAGAGUGUGCCUUGGUGUCAUCCUCAUCUUACAGGUGUGGAAGCUGAGGCCUAAUGAGGCCAUGUGUCUUCCGUUCCCCUUAUACACCAUGGGACAUGGGGCAGAGCAUAAGCUUGAACCCCGGUCUCUAGGUUUUUUUCUACCACACAGUGCAGUGAGAGACAUGAAGGGGGUUGAUGUGUAUGGAAUACAUAUACAUGCGCAUCCAGCUAUACUUUUAAAAAAAUUAUUAUUGGAUGGGUCUGGGUUCUCUAUUUUAUAAGUGACACAUACAACUAUUGAACCCAUGUGAGAUUAUAGCCAGGAGUGCAUAAAAAACUGUCCUCAGAACAAGUUGAAUGGGAAGUUGGUAAAAACGAAUAAGGUUGAGUUCACUCCACAGCCCCACAGAUGCAACUGAUUUAAUUGACCAAAUAGUUUUCUUGAAUUACUGUUGUUAAUUUAAGAGUUUAAAAAAAUUAACUUGAGAGUAGUUUUGUGUGCUAACCGGAUGAUUUAGAAGGUUAUUUGGUUGAUAAAAUGAAUCCUUGAUACAUUAUAGUUAUAAAGUUAAAACCCUAUUCCUUACUUAUGCUUCUAA